GCGCGAAAACUCUCCAAUGUGCGAAAGCGUGAGAGGGGGAUUCCUAGUGCUUACGGUUUAUCUGUAGGCUUUUGCCAUGUGUAAAUAGCAUGGCGAAUAAGUGGUGGGUAAGACUGGUGCCAGCCGCCGCGGUAACACCAGCGCCACAAGUGGCGAUCACGAUUAUUGGGCCUAAAGCGUCCGUAGUCGGCCUUGUACAUCUUCUGUGAAAUCGCUUCGCUCAACGGAGCGGCACGCGGGAGACACGGCAAGGCUUGAGAAUGGGAGGCGUCAGAGGAACUCCGGGGGGACCGGUAAAAUGGUAUAAUCCCCGGAAGACCACCUGUGGCGAAGGCGUCUGACGAGAACAUAUCUGACGAUGAGGGACGAAAGCCAGGGGAGCAAACCGG
Molecule: ribosomal RNA, 389 nt
Filed under: uncultured euryarchaeote
Lineage: Archaea; Methanobacteriati; Methanobacteriota
Description: bacterial SSU rRNA
Rfam family: Archaeal small subunit ribosomal RNA
Source: RNAcentral